UGCAGUCGAACGAGAACGGGCUUUAGUUUACUAAAGUUGUCAGCUAAGUGGCGCACGGGUGAGUAAUAUAUAGUUAAUCUGCCCCAAAGAAGAGGAUAAUUGUUGGAAACGACUUGUAAGACUCUAUAUGCCUUUAUYACAUAAGUGAGCAAGGGAAACAUUUAUGGCUUUGGGAUGAGACUGUACGGUAUCAGCUAGUUGGUGAGGUAAUGGCUCACCAAGGCAAUGACAUCUAACUGGUUUGAGAGGAUGAUCAGUCACACUGGAACUGAGACACGGUCCAGACUCCUACGGGAGGCAGCAGUGGGGAAUAUUGCACAAUGGAGGAAACUCUGAUGCAGCAACGCCGCGUGGAGGAUGACACAUUUCGGUGCGUAAACUCCUUUUAUAUGAGAAGAUAAUGACGGUAUCAUAUGAAUAAGCACCGGCUAACUCCGUGCCAGCAGCCGCGGUAAUACGGGGGGUGCAAGCGUUACUCGGAAUCACUGGGCGUAAAGAGAAUGUAGGCGGGUAGAAAAGUUGGAAGUGAAAUCCUAUGGCUUAACCAUAGAACUGCUUCUAAAACUCUUUACCUAGAGUAUGGGAGAGGUAGAUGGAAUUUCUG
This 604-nucleotide ribosomal RNA is filed under the name uncultured bacterium. RNAcentral's name for it is "bacterial SSU rRNA". It matches the Rfam family "Bacterial small subunit ribosomal RNA", at positions 56 to 672 of the family's 1533-position model. The record is from RNAcentral.